Molecule: long non-coding RNA, 6161 nt
Filed under: Cinara cedri
Lineage: Eukaryota; Metazoa; Arthropoda; Insecta; Hemiptera; Aphididae
Source: RNAcentral
AAGUUUGGUUAAGACGUUAGGUUAUUUGGGUUUAUUUAACUAUUCAUGCAUUUAUUUACUCGAGAACUUAAUUUUCUUAAUGAAUUCAUCAAAUAUAAUAAUAAUGUGAGUACUAAAUAUUGUUGUCUCAUUAUUUUUAACAGGACAAAUUGUCGAAAUUAUUGACUGUCCGAGUGAUGCACGCCUUAGUGAGUGUUUAAUUAAAAAUUAAAAAGACCAAGAUAGCUAUAUAUGAAGCAAGUUUUGUAAGCUAUAAGAUAAUGAACCUACAAGGAUAAAAGAGUAUGUUGCUAAGGAAGCAUUGAGAAAUAUUACAUCUAAUGUAGGGUAAACAAUAAUAAGGAGACAAAAAAUAAUACAUACACUUACAAAAAGUUAAUGUUAGUUAUAACUAGGGCUGGGAUUUCGAUGCACUUUUAAUUUAAUCUAGAGGUUGUUGUACGAUGCUUGUCUCAAAUCUAUAAAAUGUACUCUUGAAUGAGAAAAAGAAAAUUUAUUUUACAUUUUCUGACAAUUUUUAAUUUUAACAUGAUAGUUAUAAGUUAUAAUAGUUAAAUUAGUAUUAUGAUUUAUGCGAUUAAAAUAAAAACGUAAUUCAAAUUCUAUAACAAAACUCGUAUCUAUUUGUGUAGUGUAUACUGGAAGAAGAAAUCUAUUGGUAUUCCAAAAUAGUAUGUAUACGAAAAUAAAUUAAGUAUAAUCUCAUAUUUUCAGUUAAAUUUUUACCAAAAUUUAUUUUUUUGUAAUUAUCGGUAUAUUUAUGGAAUGUUAGACAUACCUAGGUUCCCAUUUGAAAAAACCAAAGUUGAUAUUACCACCGAAUUCUCUUUGAAUGUUCUGAAAAAAGGAUGCACCAGUCUAUAUUAUCCUACGAAGUCUCUUUAAAAUUAACUCUUUGCAUUAGUUACUUUUAUCGUAUUAUAAUAAUAAUUUCUAAAGUACCAUUAUCUCAUUAUUAGAUAUCACUUAAUAUUCACGAAAAUUUUCUGCUGUCGUAAAAGGCAAAAUUAUUACCAUUUUUCACUUGUCCUAGAAAUACAGAACUUAUUCUACGAUUAUUAUACAAUUUUGUUAAAUUUACUUUUCUCUUUUUCGUUAUCUUCUGGCACAUCUUUCAUCCAACAAAUUUGUAAAAAUCGGUAGUAGAGCAAUCGCUCUAAUAUUAUAAAUUUAUAAAUUAUAUAAGACAUAUCAUCAUUACAUCAUAAAUUCGAAAUCUAUUUGAAUUUGAAUUUAAACUCCUCUUUUUCUAGACUUAUAGCAACAGCAUAAUUUUACAUUUAUCCACAUACAUCAACAACUUCAAAUUUAAUUUUUGUUUUACAUAUUAAAUGGAUCUACGUUAAAAGAGGUAAUCAAUAUUGUCCAGAUCUAUAAAACUAGACGCAACAUUUUAUAAUAAAUGGCAAUGUUUUAGAGAACAUGACAUUCUUCUUAGGUGUACCUCAGGUGGUCAUAUUUUGUCACUUUUAUUAUUUGUUCACUCAUUAUAUUGCGUUUGUUUUUACACAUGUCCGCAGAAGGUUUUAAAUUAUCAAUGAUAAUUACUUACUGGGAAAUUCCGGCACAAAUCAACCUAGAGAAUCAUUUCCAUGUUAGCAUGGAUUAAAAAAAACAAUUAUAAUUACUAACCAGUUUAUUUGUAUUUUCAUAGAAAAUUUCAAAUAUAAUAAAGAUACGAAAGGUAAGUUUUUCAUUUUUAAUUUUUUCUAAAUGGUAUUUUUCAAUAUUUACUUUGAAAACGUCAAAACACUAGAUUUAAAUGUAGUUACUAUAUUUACUCCAGGUUUAGAAUAUUUUCUUUUUUAAUCUUAGUGAAGAGUAAAUUAACGAUUAUAUUAUGAUAUGUGAUUUUUUUUUCUAUUAUAAACAUUUCGAACAAAAAUCUUCCUCCAAUUAAUUAUUUUCAAGGACCUAUUUUAUUUUGAAUCUAGUUAGAACAUUGAAAUAAAUAAGUAAUAAUAUUGUCAAAUUAUUAUCCUUGUUGGGUAAAUAAAUUAAUUUAAAUAUUAAACAAUAUUAUUUUAUAAAUCAAGUUUCAUAUGUAGCACCUUCUUUAAAAGAAAAUUUCUCUGGGAUGGUUCUUCAAACAGCUAAUUAUUGAUUGUUUGGGAUUAUUUGGCUAGCCCAGUAGCUUUUCCAAUAAGUGCGAAUAACCGGGAAUAAUUUAAGAAAAUAAUGCUUUUAUUAUUUUCAAUUUUGUUUUUCAUUAUGUUGUAAUUAAUUUUAAAAUAUUUUUAGAAACUCGAAACUUUUACAGAAAACUCAUUUUUCAUUUUUUAGACAUUGUAAAACUUUCAAAACAUUUGAGCUAUUUUUGUGCUAAUUAUAGAGAUUUUAAUUUUGUGAGUUUACACAAAAUUUUGAUUUGGUAAUUACUCUGUGAUAUAAUUAUUAUUAAAUAAAAAUACUUGAAAAUUGAACAGAAGGUUCUUUAAAAGUCGAACUUUGUGGCAAAAAAAUAUUGAGCUUAAUGUAUACUAUAAUAUUUUUUUUUUAUGAAGGAAUUUUAAUAUUAUAUUUUGACGAAAUUCGUUUGAGUUAAAAAUUAUAUGGAACCUGACUUUACCAUCGUUCUUAAAUCGACCAUGUUUAUAUAUAUUUAAGAACGAUGAUAAAGUCAGAAUCAAGCGGACUGGCUUAGUUUCGAAAUUAUAGCCUUUUGAAGUUCUGGUAAUGUGCGGAUAUUAUAUAAUGACAAUUUUAUAGUAUGACAGUUGUAAUACAGUGGUACGUAAAUAUUGUCAACCCAAUGGUUGUGCGUUCAAACUCAUGUUUUAAAAAUGUUUUUUUGCUAAACCACGUCGGGUAGGUAGCAGGGGUAAAAAAAUGUAAUAAAUGGAACAUGCAAAAUGUGUUUACUUCGUUAAUCGUCGUAUUCAAAAUAUAUUUAUUUUAAAUCAAAUUAGACGAUGUAUUUAUUUAUUUAUUUAUUAAAUUAUAUACAUAUAUAUUGUUGAAAUUGCAAUAUUAUUAACCAAGCUUCUCUCAGAACCGUUUUUCGUUAGCAAUGGGUAAUCGUUGCGAGCAGAUAUUAAAUUUCCCUUUUACCUGCCUAAUUUAUCACCUACAACAGUGGUCUAGCAUCGUGCGAAGUAUGCCUGUUCUCUUUUUCUUAGUAUUAUAUAUUAUCUGUUCAAACUCUUGUCCUUUUGUGCAAAUAUCUAAAAAUUAUUUCGAAAAAAUUGUAAAUUCAAAAGGAUCUCAAACAAUAAUAAGUUAUGCUUUUGUAAAAAAAAAUCUCAUUAAAUAAAUGUUAUAACUACUUUACAGAAUUCAAAUGAAAUGUGUAUAUCACUACUUUGUUUGAAUUCUGUAUUUCAAGUUACAGUUAGUGCAUGUACAGUUUUUAAUUAUAUGUUGAAACAAUUUUAAACAUUGGCUUAGAAUUGUAAAAUUGUAUUAUUACGUAACUACUGAAUUUUGGCAUUGCGCCAUCGUCAGAUUACUGAUAUACAUGAAUAUUUGAAACAAAAACAUACCGUCAAUUUGAAUAAAAUUAACGAAUAUUAAAUAAUAAUAUUAUACAUGUAGGUAUGCAUAAUUUGAAAUUAAAACGGUGGUAAUAGAGAUAAACAGAAAAUAAUAAUACAGAACGAAUACUGUUUUUUUUUUUAAUACCAUCUUUAAGUUUAUGUAAAAAAGUAAACAGAAAGUAAGUUUAGAUUAUGAGCAGAACGAGGAAUACAUUGGUUUUACAAUGUUGUUUAUUUUUUUUAUUGAUUUAUUAUUUUCAUCCGUGAACAACUCUUCUAUCUACCAGCAAUUUCGCUCCGUUUUCCAGUUAUAGCAAUUUUUCUGACAAGAAAUCUGGCUAGGGUGGUACCUAGGUGGUUUUUUUGAUUUCCCUAGCUAUUUUCAUAAGAAAUGGGAAAACCGGAAAAAUAGAUANUUGCUUACAGAUAUACAUUAUAUUUCCCCUCAAACUUUCCAACUUUUUAAAAUCAGUAUGUACAAUAUGUAAUAUUAUAUUAUUAAAACAAUCGGUUUCACUUUAUAUUUUAUAUGAUCUCGAAUUUAUAAUAAACAUAUAAUACUUAAUGAUUAUUUUUACAGACAUUUUUAUUGAUGUAUUUUUUUUUUUGAGAUGUAUUAAUGUAAUUAUUAAAGCCAUUGUCGUUUUAGGAUUUGAAUUUAUCUAUAAUAAUAAUUUGAAAAUUAGACAAUCGUUAUUAAUAUAUCGAUUUCGUAUGACACUGAAUACAAACUUUGAACCAGAUUUUGUUUGUCGGUGUCUCGCAUUGUCAUUGAUGUUAAUAGUAUACCUAUUACUAUUGAUAUUACUUGCGAAGUCAUAACUAAUAAUAUUUUACCCAUAAAUUAUUUAUUUUAAUUAUUCAACAAUAACUGUAUAGCAGUGAUGCCCAACGUGGGCAAUACCACCCCCUUGUGGGCUUUUUUAAUUUUAAAGGGACUUUUUACUUAAGGGAGCGCUAAUGGGGGCGAUUCUACUGUGACUUUUAUUAUUCAAAUGAAGUUAGAAUUUAGUGUAUAUCUGUGAAGUUAGCAAGUGGAUAUUGAGCACUCACAUAAGGUUGUCUUAUGACUUUUUCUAACAAUUUAUUAUUGUAUAUCGCCCAAUCUUUAAAACUAUAAUCAACUAGCCGAUAACAUAUUUUCACUGGGUGAUAUUUAUGUCACCUAGUUCAUUAGUUUAAAAAUGCAGUUCGUACGCUAUGUGGAAAAUUCCACCUAUCGUAGACAAAUUGAGCACUAAUUAAGCACUAAAUACUGGUACUAGAAAGUAAAUUAAUGUUGAAUGGCCAUUCACUAACUUUAUGGAUUUAUUAGUAUUAUUGUAUAUUUCUUGUACUUACUUAUUAUCAUAAUAAAGAUUAUGUUAUCCUAGAAUCUUAUCCGAGAACAAAAUUCUAUGAAAAUAUUUAAUUUUCACUUUAUAUAAUGGCCAAUUAAAAACAAAACGAUAUUUUUUUUUAAAUUUAUUGGUGUGCGAUGUGGGAUGAGGUGGGCGGUGUGAGUUUAUGAAAAUGAAAUAGGGUCGUUAAGUAAAAAAAGGUUGGGUUACACCGAUGUGUAGUAUCUAAUGAAAAUAUUUAAAUUACUAAUAUUUAUUUAAUUUUUUAUUUUCCAGUUCUCACUUGUCGUAAGUACAAUACACAUCGUAUAAAUUAAAUCACGAGCAGUGUGGAUUCACUGACUUUAUGAUCUUUGCUUAUUCGUUUUUAUUCGUCAUUGAGAUACAUAGUAGAUAAUACUAUAAGAAUUUUUUUUAAGUAUUACCCACGGCAGUAAGGGUUCUGUUUAACACAUUACUUCAUUCACUAUUGCUAUUGUUUAUUAAAUAACUUAUGAAUUAGUCUAUAUCGUAUGUACAGUUGAUGCCUUCCCCUUGAGUUAUGGUUAAUAUAAUCCUAAUUUAUAAAAAUUAGCCUUAGGACGAUGUUGGACUGAAGCUUAGCCUAGGUGGGGGCCCUCCUUUUUAGUGAGGGUAUUUAUUUUGCGACACAUUUAAAUAUAAUCUUAGUAAUUUGCGCUAAUAUUUAAGAUUUUAGUUUGUGCCAACAUAAAACUAAACUAAUGGGAAUUAUGUUAUCUGCGUCAUCUUGUACCUACACAAAUUGUAAUUUGUGUGAUCGUUCACCUUAUUAAAAUUGUAAUUUGCACCACUAAAAUACUACUUAACAAUUUAUUUUUAACAGAUUGACAUAUUAAAUUUUAGAUUCAGAGUAGAGGGAGGACGCUCAUGAUUUUCAAAAAUGUUAUUUUUUUUUUUAUCUGUGCCCAACUUUUCUACCGGAGAACUUAUAUGCAUGUUAUAUUUUUAUGUGUAGGUGCAAAUAACAAGUAAAAAAAUUAACCCAAAAUAGCUUAUCCUCUUUUCUUGGAUGAUUUAUAAUACUAUUAUUUGCUAGAUCAAUUAAAUGUAUAAUAAUUGUAUCUUUAAAAUUCCACAUUUAAAUGUAACUAACAACUUUUGUUUUAUAUCAUUACAGCGAACAUUAGAGUUGGUAGUAAGUAUGUUUUUGUAGUUUUGAACAUAGAUAACUAAUCAAUGUUUUUAGUGUAUAGGGAUAACUACAUAGAUAUAAAUAAUUAGUACCAUUAAGUAUAUACCUUGUCUCCAACGAGAAUAUUACAGCUGCCAGACCGGUUGUCGUUCAUCGGCGCACAUACAGUCUAGUUCAAAGUCGACUGUCGAU